RNAcentral lists this ribosomal RNA (869 nucleotides) under Mallocybe sabulosa. RNAcentral's name for it is "eukaryotic LSU rRNA". It matches the Rfam family "Eukaryotic large subunit ribosomal RNA", at positions 87 to 937 of the family's 3401-position model. The record is from RNAcentral. Lineage: Eukaryota; Fungi; Basidiomycota; Agaricomycetes; Agaricales; Inocybaceae.
CUGCGAGUGAAAUGGGAAAAGCUCAAAUUUAAAAUCUGAUGGUCUUUUUGGCUGUCCGAGUUGUAAUCUAGAGAAGUGCUACCUGCGCUGGACCAUGUACAAGUCUCCUGGAAUGGAGCAUCAUAGAGGGUGAGAAUCCCGUCUUUGACAUGGACUUACCAGGGCUUUGUGGUGUGCUCUCAAAGAGUCGAGUUGUUUGGGAAUGCAGCUCAAAAUGGGUGGUAAAUGCCAUCUAAAGCUAAAUAUUGGCGAGAGACCGAUAGCGAACAAGUACCGUGAGGGAAAGAUGAAAAGAACUUUGGAAAGAGAGUUAAACAGUACGUGAAAUUGCUGAAAGGGAAACGCUUGAAGUCAGUCGCAUUGGCUGGAAAUCAACCACUGCUUUUGCUUGGUGUACUUUCUGGCUGAUGGGUCAGCAUCAAUUUUGAUCGUUGGAUAAAGGCUUUGGGAAUGUGGCAUCUUAGGAUGUGUUAUAGCCCUUGGUCACAUACAGCGGUUGAGAUUGAGGAACUCAGCACGCCGCAAGGCUCGGGUUUUACCACGUUGUGUGCUUAGGAUGCUGGCAUAAUGGCUUUAAUCGACCCGUCUUGAAACACGGACCAAGGAGUCUAACAUGCAUGCGAGUGUUUGGGUGGAAAACCCAUGCGCGCAAUGAAAGUGAAAAGUUAAGAUCCCUGUCAUGGGGAGCAUUGACGCUCGGACCAGAUCUUUUGUGACGGAUCCGCGGUAGAGCAUGUAUGUUGGGACCCGAAAGAUGGUGAACUAUGCCUGAAUAGGGUGAAGCCAGAGGAAACUCUGGUGGAGGCUCGUAGCGAUUCUGACGUGCAAAUCGAUCGUCAAAUUUGGGUAUAGGGGCGAAAGACUAAUCG